UUAAAUUGAAGAGUUUGAUCAUGGCUCAGAUUGAACGCUGGCGGCAGGCCUAACACAUGCAAGUCGAACGGUAACAGGAAGCAGCUUGCUGCUUUGCUGACGAGUGGCGGACGGGUGAGUAAUGUCUGGGAAACUGCCUGAUGGAGGGGGAUAACUACUGGAAACGGUGGCUAAUACCGCAUAACGUCGCAAGACCAAAGAGGGGGACCUUCGGGCCUCUUGCCAUCAGAUGUGCCCAGAUGGGAUUAGCUUGUUGGUGAGGUAACGGCUCACCAAGGCGACGAUCCCUAGCUGGUCUGAGAGGAUGACCAGCCACACUGGAACUGAGACACGGUCCAGACUCCUACGGGAGGCAGCAGUGGGGAAUAUUGCACAAUGGGCGCAAGCCUGAUGCAGCCAUGCCGCGUGUAUGAAGAAGGCCUUCGGGUUGUAAAGUACUUUCAGCGGGGAGGAAGGUGUUGCGGUUAAUAACCGCAGCAAUUGACGUUACCCGCAGAAGAAGCACCGGCUAACUCCGUGCCAGCAGCCGCGGUAAUACGGAGGGUGCAAGCGUUAAUCGGAAUUACUGGGCGUAAAGCGCACGCAGGCGGUCUGUCAAGUCGGAUGUGAAAUCCCCGGGCUCAACCUGGGAACUGCAUUCGAAACUGGCAGGCUUGAGUCUUGUAGAGGGGGGUAGAAUUCCAGGUGUAGCGGUGAAAUGCGUAGAGAUCUGGAGGAAUACCGGUGGCGAAGGCGGCCCCCUGGACAAAGACUGACGCUCAGGUGCGAAAGCGUGGGGAGCAAACAGGAUUAGAUACCCUGGUAGUCCACGCCGUAAACGAUGUCUACUUGGAGGUUGUGCCCUUGAGGCGUGGCUUCCGGAGCUAACGCGUUAAGUAGACCGCCUGGGGAGUACGGCCGCAAGGUUAAAACUCAAAUGAAUUGACGGGGGCCCGCACAAGCGGUGGAGCAUGUGGUUUAAUUCGAUGCAACGCGAAGAACCUUACCUGGUCUUGACAUCCACAGAACUUUCCAGAGAUGGACUGGUGCCUUCGGGAACUGUGAGACAGGUGCUGCAUGGCUGUCGUCAGCUCGUGUUGUGAAAUGUUGGGUUAAGUCCCGCAACGAGCGCAACCCUUAUCCUUUGUUGCCAGCGAUUAGGUCGGGAACUCAAAGGAGACUGCCAGUGAUAAACUGGAGGAAGGUGGGGAUGACGUCAAGUCAUCAUGGCCCUUACGACCAGGGCUACACACGUGCUACAAUGGCGCAUACAAAGAGAAGCGACCUCGCGAGAGCAAGCGGACCUCAUAAAGUGCGUCGUAGUCCGGAUUGGAGUCUGCAACUCGACUCCAUGAAGUCGGAAUCGCUAGUAAUCGUGGAUCAGAAUGCCACGGUGAAUACGUUCCCGGGCCUUGUACACACCGCCCGUCACACCAUGGGAGUGGGUUGCAAAAGAAGUAGGUAGCUUAACCUUCGGGAGGGCGCUUACCACUUUGUGAUUCAUGACUGGGGUGAAGUCGUAACAAGGUAACCGUAGGGGAACCUGCGGUUGGAUCACCUCCUUACCUUAAAGAA
Molecule: ribosomal RNA, 1554 nt
Filed under: Salmonella enterica subsp. enterica serovar Hvittingfoss str. SA20014981
Lineage: Bacteria; Pseudomonadati; Pseudomonadota; Gammaproteobacteria; Enterobacterales; Enterobacteriaceae
Description: bacterial SSU rRNA
Rfam family: Bacterial small subunit ribosomal RNA
Source: RNAcentral